GAUGAACGCUAGCGGCAGGCUUAACACAUGCAAGUCGAGGGGUAUAGUUCUUCGGAACUAGAGACCGGCGCACGGGUGCGUAACGCGUAUGCAAUCUACCUUUCACAAAGGGAUAGCCCAGAGAAAUUUGGAUUAAUACCUUAUAGUAAUACGACUUGGCAUCAAGAUGUAUUUAAAGAUUUAUCGGUGAAAGAUGAGCAUGCGUCCAUUAGCUUGUUGGUAAGGUAACGGCUUACCAAGGCAACGAUGGGUAGGGGUCCUGAGAGGGAGAUCCCCCACACUGGUACUGAGACACGGACCAGACUCCUACGGGAGGCAGCAGUGAGGAAUAUUGGACAAUGGGCGCAAGCCUGAUCCAGCCAUGCCGCGUGCAGGAUGACGGUCCUAUGGGUUGUAAACUGCUUUUGACAGGAAGAAACCCUUUCACGUGUGAAGAUUGACGGUACUGUAAGAAUAA
RNAcentral lists this ribosomal RNA (457 nucleotides) under uncultured bacterium. RNAcentral's name for it is "bacterial SSU rRNA". It matches the Rfam family "Bacterial small subunit ribosomal RNA", at positions 28 to 489 of the family's 1533-position model. The record is from RNAcentral.